GUGCUUGCUUUGGCAGCACAUAUGCUAAAAUUGGAACGAUAUAAAGAAGAUUAGCAUGGCCCCUGUGCAAGGAUGACACACAAAUUCGUGAAGUAUCCUGUCUAGUA
Molecule: small nuclear RNA, 107 nt
Filed under: Octodon degus (degu)
Lineage: Eukaryota; Metazoa; Chordata; Mammalia; Rodentia; Octodontidae
Source: RNAcentral